Molecule: long non-coding RNA, 830 nt
Organism: Pyrus x bretschneideri (Chinese white pear)
Lineage: Eukaryota; Viridiplantae; Streptophyta; Magnoliopsida; Rosales; Rosaceae
Exons: 2
Source: RefSeq, a predicted model, not a curated record
UUACGUUUCUGCCACGUCUGAGAAAAUAUAUAUACAAUUUAUUUUUUCUUUUUCUUCUUCUCUCUUCCCUCUCGCUGCCCCGUUGCGACUCACCGUUUGAACGAGAAACCCAAAAAUCAUCAAUUUCAUCUCCUUCUCCAAAUCAACACAACCAUACCUUCCAAAAAUCUUAAUCCGCACCCGAACCCACGAACCCAGUUUGGGUUUGACGUUCCCGGCGACUUUCAUAAGUUUUCCGGUGGCGGCCGGCCCUGCAACCACAUCUAUUCGACUCAGGAGAGUCCCAACAACAACAUUCGAGUUUUGCAUGCUCGAAUCUGCCCCAAGAACGAGGAGUUCCAUAAACCAGCUAGCGGUGGCGGUGGGUUUUUCCGACGAAGAUCUUAGUUUUCUCUGACGGGUUUCAGGCCUUUCCAACCUUUUUUGGGUCCGGCGAAGUUUGUUCUGCUGCUGGGCUUUGAGUAUCAAUUCAUUGGGGAUUCUGAAAUCAAUUAACUGAGGAACGAAGAAGUAAAAAGGGCAAGGGAGCUGUUGAGAUGGUUCUCUUAUGAUGUAUUCUGAUGGUAUCCCUCCUCAAUUCAAAGUAAAAGAUCUUAGAUUUGAAUUCAUGGAUGGCGAAUUCGAUACCAAAUUAGACUGCUUAUUAUGUGGGUUAGCCAAACUCGGUCUUACUUUAGUAUAAAAAUAUUGAUGUAGCAAAAAAAAAUAAUAAUAAUGAUGUAUCUGAUUUUAUUUUGGUGGGUCAUGAAUUCAAUUUCUACAUGGGCUCAUGAGAAGUAAUCUCUCAUGACGGUUUGGAAAUGAUAAUUUGUUGAGAAACUUUUUUUUUA